Molecule: ribosomal RNA, 408 nt
Filed under: uncultured bacterium
Lineage: Bacteria
Description: partial 16S ribosomal RNA
Rfam family: Bacterial small subunit ribosomal RNA
Source: RNAcentral
GACGAACGCUGGCGGCGUGCUUAACACAUGCAAGUCGAAGAUAGUGGCGAACGGGUGAGUAACACGUGAGUAACCUGCCCUUUUCUUUUGGAUAAGCCUGGGAAACUGGGUCUAAUACUGGAUGGAUUGGGAUGGGCUAGGGGCUUAUCAGCUUGUUGGUGUGGUGAUGGCUUACCAAGGCUUUGACGGGUAGCCGGCCUGAGAAGGUGGUCGGGAACACUGGGACGGAGAUACGGCCCAGACUCCUACGGGAGGCAGCAGUGGGGGAUAUGGCACAAUGGAUGAAAGUCUGAUGCAGCGAGGUCGUGUGGGGGAUGAAGGCCUUCGGGUUGUAAACGCCUUUCGGCAGCGGAAUGGUAUUGGGUAAAGAAGCGCCGGCUAACUACGUGCCAGCAGCCGCGGUAAUAC